RNAcentral lists this ribosomal RNA (305 nucleotides) under uncultured bacterium. Its description in RNAcentral is "bacterial SSU rRNA". It matches the Rfam family "Bacterial small subunit ribosomal RNA", at positions 334 to 653 of the family's 1533-position model. The record is from RNAcentral.
CAGUCCUACGGGAGGCAGCAGUGGGGAAUAUUGGGCAAUGGGCGCAAGCCUGACCCAGCAACGCCGCGUGAAGGAAGAAGGCUUUCGGGUUGUAAACUUCUUUUCUCAGGGACGAAGAAAGUGACGGUACCUGAGGAAUAAGCCACGGCUAACUACGUGCCAGCAGCCGCGGUAAUACGUAGGUGGCAAGCGUUAUCCGGAUUUACUGGGUGUAAAGGGCGUGUAGGCGGGAAAGCAAGUCAGAUGUGAAAAACAUGGGCUCAACCUGUGGCUUGCAUUUGAAACUGCUUUUCUUGAGUACUGGG